AUUGAACGCUGGCGGCAUGCCUUACACAUGCAAGUCGAACGGCAGCACGGGAGCAAUCCUGGUGGCGAGUGGCGAACGGGUGAGUAAUAUAUCGGAACGUGCCCAGUCGUGGGGGAUAACGCAGCGAGAGCUGUGCUAAUACCGCAUACGAUCUAUGGAUGAAAGCGGGGGAUCGCAAGACCUCGCGCGAUUGGAGCGGCCGAUAUCAGAUUAGCUAGUUGGUGAGGUAAAGGCUCACCAAGGCGACGAUCUGUAGCUGGUCUGAGAGGACGACCAGCCACACUGGAACUGAGACACGGUCCAGACUCCUACGGGAGGCAGCAGUGGGGAAUUUUGGACAAUGGGCGCAAGCCUGAUCCAGCAAUGCCGCGUGCAGGAUGAGGGCCUUCGGGUUGUAAACUGCUUUUGUACGGAGCGAAAAGGCUUCUCCUAAUACGAGGGGCUCAUGACGGUACCGUAAGAAUAAGCACCGGCUAACUACGUGCCAGCAGCCGCAGUAA
RNAcentral lists this ribosomal RNA (500 nucleotides) under uncultured bacterium. RNAcentral describes it as "partial 16S ribosomal RNA". It matches the Rfam family "Bacterial small subunit ribosomal RNA", at positions 30 to 523 of the family's 1533-position model. The record is from RNAcentral.